Molecule: ribosomal RNA, 378 nt
Filed under: uncultured bacterium
Lineage: Bacteria
Description: bacterial SSU rRNA
Rfam family: Bacterial small subunit ribosomal RNA
Source: RNAcentral
AUUGAACGCUGGCGGCGUGCCUAACACAUGCAAGUCGAGCGGUAACAGGUGUAGCAAUACAUGCUGACGAGCGGCGAACGGGUGAGUAAUGCUUUGGAAUCUUCCCAGUAGUGGGGAAUAACCAGUCGAAAGAUUGGCUAAUACCGCAUACGUCUGUAAAGGGAAAGCGGGGGCUCGUAAGACCUCGCGCUAUUGGACGAGCCAAAGUCGGAUUAGCUAGUUGGGGGGUAAUGGCCUACCAAGGCGACAAUCCGUAGCUGGUCUGAGAGGACGACCAGCCACACCGGAACUGAGACACGGUCCGGACUCCUACGGGAGGCAGCAGUGGGGAAUAUUGGACAAUGGGGGAAACCCUGAUCCAGCGACGCCGCGUGUGUG